Molecule: ribosomal RNA, 494 nt
Filed under: uncultured bacterium
Lineage: Bacteria
Description: partial 16S ribosomal RNA
Rfam family: Bacterial small subunit ribosomal RNA
Source: RNAcentral
GACGAACGCUGGCGGCGUGCUUAACACAUGCAAGUCGAACGGAAAGGCCUGCUUUCCCUUGUGGAUUGCGGGUACUCGAGUGGCGAACGGGUGAGUAACACGUGAGUGAUCUGCCCCCAACUUGGGUAUAAGCCUGGGAAACUGGGUCUAAUUCCCGAUAGGACUGCAGGGUGGUGCCUGUGGUGGAAAACGAUUUUCUAGUGGUUGGGGAUGAGCUCGCGGCCUAUCAGCUUGUUGGUGGGGUAAUGGCCUACCAAGGCGGCGACGGGUAGCCGGCCUGGGAGGGUGGACGGCCACAUCGGGACUGAGAUACGGCCCAGACUCCUACGGGAGGCAGCAGUGGGGAAUAAUGCGCAAUGGGCGGAAGCCUGAUGCAGCGACGCCGCGUGGGGGAUGACGGGCUUCGGGUUGUAAACUCCUUUCGACCGCGAGGAAGCCACCUGGUUGGAAGGGUGGUGACGGUAGUGGUAGAAGAAGCACCGGCUAACUACGUG